UGGUGAUACCACGGUCACCAAGGUGGUUUCCCUGGGGUGAGGCUCACCCACUAUACCCCGCAUGUGCUGACCCCUGUGAGGUGGAAACUCAA
RNAcentral lists this small nuclear RNA (92 nucleotides) under Octodon degus (degu). RNAcentral's name for it is "U1 spliceosomal RNA (ENSODEG00000021050.1)". Lineage: Eukaryota; Metazoa; Chordata; Mammalia; Rodentia; Octodontidae. The record is from RNAcentral.